AAUACGUAGGUGGCAAGCGUUGUCCGGAUUUACUGGGCGUAAAGGGCUUGUAGGCGGUCCGUUAAGUCCGGUGUGAAAUCUCCCGGCUCAACUGGGAGGGGCCAUCGGAUACUGACGGGCUAGAGGUAGGCAGAGGAAAGCGGAAUUCCCGGUGUAGCGGUGAAAUGCGUAGAGAUCGGGAGGAACGCCAGUGGCGAAGGCGGCCACCUGGGCUGUCUCUGACGCUCAGACCCGAAAGCUGGGGGAGCGAACGGGAUUAGAUACCCCGGUAGUCCCAGCCCUAAACGAUGCUCACUAGGUGUCGGGGGGUCACUCCCUCGGUGCCGAAGCUAACGCAUUAAGUGAGCCGCCUGGGGAGUACGGCCGCAAGGCU
RNAcentral lists this ribosomal RNA (373 nucleotides) under uncultured bacterium. Its description in RNAcentral is "bacterial SSU rRNA". It matches the Rfam family "Bacterial small subunit ribosomal RNA", at positions 522 to 895 of the family's 1533-position model. The record is from RNAcentral.